This 468-nucleotide ribosomal RNA is filed under the name uncultured bacterium. Its description in RNAcentral is "partial 16S ribosomal RNA". It matches the Rfam family "Bacterial small subunit ribosomal RNA", at positions 28 to 507 of the family's 1533-position model. The record is from RNAcentral.
GACGAACGCUGGCGGCGUGCUUAACACAUGUAAGUCGAACGGAAAGGCCCUGCUUUUGUGGGGUGCUCGAGUGGCGAACGGGUGAGUAACACGUGAGUAACCUGCCCUUGACUUUGGGAUAACUUCAGGAAACUGGGGCUAAUACCGGAUAGGAGCUCCUGCUGCAUGGUGGGGGUUGGAAAGUUUCGGCGGUUGGGGAUGGACUCGCGGCUUAUCAGCUUGUUGGUGGGGUAGUGGCUUACCAAGGCUUUGCCGGGUAGCCGGCCUGAGAGGGUGACCGGCCACAUUGGGACUGAGAUACGGCCCAGACUCCUACGGGAGGCAGCAGUGGGGAAUAUUGCACAAUGGGCGGAAGCCUGAUGCAGCAACGCCGCGUGCGGGAUGACGGCCUUCGGGUUGUAAACCGCUUUCGCCUGUGACGAAGCGUGAGUGACGGUAAUGGGUAAAGAAGCACCGGCUAACUACGUG